GUCCCUUUGGGGACAUCUGGUAAAAUUGAAAUGAUACAGAGAAUAUUAGCAUGGCCCCUGUGCAAGGAUGACACGCACAAAUCGAGAAAUGGUCCAAAAAUUU
This is a small nuclear RNA of Triticum dicoccoides, 103 nucleotides long. The record is from RefSeq and is a predicted model, not a curated record. NCBI's taxonomy places the organism in Eukaryota, Viridiplantae, Streptophyta, Magnoliopsida, Poales, Poaceae.